RNAcentral lists this ribosomal RNA (258 nucleotides) under uncultured bacterium. RNAcentral describes it as "partial 16S ribosomal RNA". It matches the Rfam family "Bacterial small subunit ribosomal RNA", at positions 96 to 354 of the family's 1533-position model. The record is from RNAcentral.
UGGCGGACGGGUGAGUAACGCGUGGGUAACCUGCCUUACACAGGGGGAUAACACCUGGAAAUAGGUGCUAAAACCGCAUGAGCGCACAGCUUCGCAUGAAGCGGUGUGAAAAACUCCGGUGGUGUAAGAUGGACCCGCGUCUGAUUAGCUUGUUGGCGGGGUAACGGCCCACCAAGGCGACGAUCAGUAGCCGGCCUGAGAGGGCGGACGGCCACAUUGGGACUGAGACACGGCCCAGACUCCUACGGGAGGCAGCAG